GAAAAGAAAACAAACGUGAUUCCCCCAGUAACGGCGAGUGAACAGGGACGAGCCCAGCGUGAAGGCUAUGUACCGUCAUGGUAUCAUAGCGGUGCCACGUUAAUACUCUUGCGACUACAGGUAGGUGUGGAGGUACUGCAAGUCUCUUUGAACAGAGCGCCACAGAGGGUGACAGCCCCGUAGCAGAUCUUUACCUAUCACACCACCUCCAGCAAGUGUAUGCUAGAGUCAGGUUGCUUGAAAGUGCAACCUAAAGCAGCAGGUAGACUCCUGCUAAGGCUAAACACGACCGUCAGACCGAUAGUAAACAAGUACCGUGAGGGAAAGUUGAAAAGAACUUUGUAGAGAGAGUUAAAAGUACGUGAAACGGCUUGGAGGCAAACGAAUGGAGCUGCGAAGCAGGCGCUUGUGUAUCAAUUUGCUUACCCUGUCUGCAUGUUUGUGCUUGUCUCGAAAGAGUAAGCACUUGUGUGUAAGGCAGGGUAGACAAAUGCACUACACUUGCGUACGAUGAUGUGGUGAGCAGUGGAACAGUGUUGUUGUGGUCAUUACGGGACUGAGGUGUACGGUUCUCUGCGGCUUCGGCCACACGAGUCCGACUUCAUGUCUGGAUACAACAAACACACAUCCACUGUUAACAAAGUCUCCCGUAUGGGAGUACGGACGGGAGUAAAGUUGUUGGACUUGACAGCGGUCUCAGGCUUGAAGUCGGUAGCC
RNAcentral lists this ribosomal RNA (717 nucleotides) under Tydeus sp. F186. RNAcentral describes it as "eukaryotic LSU rRNA". It matches the Rfam family "Eukaryotic large subunit ribosomal RNA", at positions 56 to 606 of the family's 3401-position model. Lineage: Eukaryota; Metazoa; Arthropoda; Arachnida; Trombidiformes; Tydeidae. The record is from RNAcentral.